Non-coding RNA from Nicotiana tabacum (common tobacco), 271 nucleotides. Lineage: Eukaryota; Viridiplantae; Streptophyta; Magnoliopsida; Solanales; Solanaceae. The record is from RefSeq and is a predicted model, not a curated record.
GCUGCAAAAAGGUGGGUUUUUGAUUCGAUUCAGAAUGCUUGGAGAAAGUAUAAGAAUCAACUAUUUAACGACCAUUAUAAACCCUAUGAGAAUGACGAGCUUCGAAUGGAGAAAAGGUCGGUUGAUGUUCCUGAAUCUCAAUUUAGGGAUCUUCUUAAUUAUUGGAACUCUGAUGCCUACAAGAAAAUGUCCCAAACCAAUACCGAGAAUCGCAAAAAGUUGAAAUAUCCACACACUGCUGGCAAAAGAAGUUUUGCUCGAAUAUGUGAGG